This 2833-nucleotide long non-coding RNA is filed under the name Sus scrofa (pig). RNAcentral describes it as "lncRNA (ENSSSCG00025053138.1)". Lineage: Eukaryota; Metazoa; Chordata; Mammalia; Artiodactyla; Suidae. The record is from RNAcentral.
CAGGCCGACUUUGCCAUCGAGGCCUUGGCCAAGGCCACCUACGAGCGCAUGUUCCGCUGGCUGGUCCUGCGCAUCAACAAGGCUCUGGACAAGACCAAGCGGCAGGGCGCCUCGUUCAUCGGCAUCCUGGACAUCGCCGGCUUCGAGAUCUUCGAUGCAGGCGCCCCUGGCAUCCUGGCCCUGCUGGACGAGGAGUGCUGGUUCCCCAAAGCCACGGACAAGAGCUUCGUGGAGAAGGUGAUGCAGGAGCAGGGCACCCACCCCAAGUUCCAGAAGCCCAAGCAGCUGAAUCAUCCGCUAUGCAUCUUCCACUAUGCCCGCAAGGAUCUCCAUCCCCAACCCCCAGUGAAUCCCCCAUUUGGAAACCAUAAGUUUUUCAAAGUCUGUGAGUCAGUACCUGUUCUGCAAAGAAGUUCAUUGCGUCCUUUUUUCAGAUUCCACAUUUCCUGAGCACCUAUAUGUGCUGGACCCUGAGCUGGCCCUGGAGAUAGAGACACCAGACUCAGGUGCUAACUUCCAUGAGCUUCCUCAUUCAUCAGAUGACACAAAGCCUGCACUACAGAGGGUCAGCCCAGGUUUUCUGGUUGCCAGCACCCUGCCUUUCCUACAAGAUUCCUCCACCUGGAGAGAAGAUCUGUUGUCAAGUGGAAACAAACCUGGGUAGAAAAGCACACUCAGCCCUUCUCACAAGCUUCUGCAUCCAUCCAAAUGGCAUUGACCGCCAAGGCUGGGCCUCCUCGGGCAGGUCGCUGGGACCUGAAAGUACUGGUGCUGUCCCUGCCAUCAGGGAACAAGUCUAGAGGGACCUGACCGAAGGAGUGGAGGCCCCUCUCGCAGAUUCCAUGGCAGCAGAGCGGGGGACAAUGGACUCCACAGGGGAGGGUCGCGGAGGGCUUCUCAGAGGAGGCGAUGUCAGCUUUGGGCUUUGGAAGAUGAGCAUGAUUUUUCCAGGUGGUAGGAGCAGGUGUUCCUGGCAGAGAACCAGUGUGGGCAAAUGCCUAGAACUGGCAUGGGCGUGACAUUGAGCAGCCACAAUAUGAUAAGUAUGCAGUGAGCAUCUGGUAUAUUCUGGGACUGUGCCAAGUGCUUAUGGCACAAAGGUGAGUAAGGGAGGCAGACUGAGCUGAGCUAAGGACACCCUGGAAUGUCAGGGCUGGGGUUGUUCUCUAAGGCGUCAGCAGGGCAGAUGGGAAUAGCCCAGGGUGGGGCCUGGUGGGCGGGCAGAGUGUUUGUUUGACCCGGGCGACUCAGAAGAGAGCGCUUUCAUUUUCUCUUUCGAUUCUUCAGCUCUAUCUGGGCCCAGAGGGUGUGUCUGGGUAUUGCAGAGCCGCACAGCUGGGGACCAGAUCCUCACGGUGAGAGGAGCUGCUUUGUGCUCACCCUCAGCCCAAGGAAGACUCCUGGGGUGAAGCCACACCUCCGUUCCAGCCUGACCCAGAAACGGAGCGGAAGGGAGAUUCCUGAGACCCUGCAGCUGCCACCAUGAGCUCAGAUGACCCGAGGGACCACUCAGAGAGUGAAAGCUUUUUGGAGGAGGUCACUGAGUAUUUUCGGAACACAGUGAGUAGGGAAGAACUGCAGCUCCUGCUCACUGAAGGCAAAGCCUGGGAGAAAUUUGUGACUGAGGCUGAUUUGUCCAGGGAAGAGGCAGAUGCACUGCGUGAGUAUCUGAAGGAGCUGGAAACAGACUUGGCCUUGGAGGACAAAGACUCCCUCCUACAAGACCAGCUGGAGAGAACGAGGUUUUUGCAGGAGUUUCCCCGAGUGAAACUGGAGAUCGAGGCGCAAAUAGGAAAGCUGCAUGCGCUUGCGGCCAAGGUUGACAAGGUGCACAGGGACUGCACCAUCUCCAACGUGGUGGCCACCUCCACCGGUGCUGCGUCUGGCAUCCUGACCGUUCUUGGUCUGGCUCUGGCACCCGUGACAGCAGGGUUCAGUCUGGCACUCUCUGCCACUGGGUUAGGGCUGGGAGUAGCGGCUUCUGUGACUGGUGUGUCCGCCAGCAUUGUGGACAAGGUCAACAGUUCAUUAGCAGAAAGAGAAGCCAGUCGCCUCAUGUCCACCAGCUUCAACAAAGCGGAGGUGAUUUCAGAGUCUCUGGGCAAGAGCACACCCCAAAUUGUGUCCUUAACAAAGAAUUUCAUCCAAGGCUUGCCACGCAUUGGGAAGAAUAUCCGGGCCAUCAAGCUGGCCAAAGCCAACCCUCGCUUAGCAGCCAAUGCCAAGCGCUUCAUGACCGCUGGGCAAGUCUCAGUUCGAAACAGAAGGCUGGUGAAGAAAACGUUUGAAGGGACAGUUCUGGCAAUGACCAAAAAUGCCCGGAUCAUCGGUAUGGCUACUGCAGGUGUUGCCCUUCUGAUGGACGUGGGCUUCCUGGUGAAAGAGUCAAUCCACUUGCAGCAGGGGGCAAAGGCAGAGUCAGCAGAAAGGCUGAGACAGCAGGCCCAGGAGCUGGAGAAGAAGCUGGAGGAGCUUACCAGGAUCUAUGAGAAUCUGCAGUAAGGCCUGACUCCGCCACCCCCAGAGCAGUGCAGAGACACGUCCGGGGCCAACACGCAGUGGUACCUUGGAGGCAAAGAGACGUGGACAUAAAAUGAUAAAAGUGGGGAAGCUGAGCUGGUCUCUCUGACUCUUCUUUUGGUCUAUUUUCUGGACUAUGCCGUUUCCCCAGAAGAUGAGAAAUCUGAAACCCUUGAAAAUUCAAAAGAUGUCAUUUUCUUCCCUGAAAUUCUUCCUCUUGGCUUGAUGAGUCACAAAACUUCAAGCACCAUUGUUGAAAAAUUAUUUCAAAAAAGUAUAGAAUAAAUGUCAUCUUUUCCGUUUUGUCUUUCAA